This 1449-nucleotide ribosomal RNA is filed under the name uncultured bacterium. Its description in RNAcentral is "bacterial SSU rRNA". It matches the Rfam family "Bacterial small subunit ribosomal RNA". The record is from RNAcentral.
AGAGUUUGAUCAUGUCUCAGGAUGAACGCUGGCGGCGUGCUUAACACAUGCAAGUCGAACGAACCUUCGGGUUAGUGGCGGACGGGUGAGUAACGCGUGAGAAUCUGCCCUCAGGAGGGGGAUAACGGUUGGAAACGACCGCUAAUACCCCAUAUGCCUACUGGUGAAACGAAUUUCGCCUGAGGAUGAGCUCGCGUCUGAUUAGCUAGUUGGUGAGGUAAUGGCUCACCAAGGCUUCGAUCAGUAGCUGGUCUGAGAGGAUGAUCAGCCACACUGGGACUGAGACACGGCCCAGACUCCUACGGGAGGCAGCAGUGGGGAAUUUUCCGCAAUGGGCGAAAGCCUGACGGAGCAACGCCGCGUGAGGGACGAAGGCCUCUGGGCUGUAAACCUCUUUUCUCAAGGAAGAAGAUAUGACGGUACUUGAGGAAUAAGCCACGGCUAAUUCCGUGCCAGCAGCCGCGGUAAUACGGGAGUGGCAAGCGUUAUCCGGAAUUAUUGGGCGUAAAGCGUCCGCAGGCGGCUUUUCAAGUCUGCUGUUAAAGCGUGGAGCUUAACUCCAUCAUGGCAGUGGAAACUGAAAGGCUUGAGUAUGGUAGGGGCAGAGGGAAUUCCCGGUGUAGCGGUGAAAUGCGUAGAUAUCGGGAAGAACACCAGUGGCGAAGGCGCUCUGCUGGGCCAUUACUGACGCUCAUGGACGAAAGCCAGGGGAGCGAAAGGGAUUAGAUACCCCUGUAGUCCUGGCCGUAAACGAUGAACACUAGGUGUCGGGGGAAUCGACCCCUUCGGUGUCGUAGCUAACGCGUUAAGUGUUCCGCCUGGGGAGUACGCACGCAAGUGUGAAACUCAAAGGAAUUGACGGGGGCCCGCACAAGCGGUGGAGUAUGUGGUUUAAUUCGAUGCAACGCGAAGAACCUUACCAGGGUUUGACAUCCUGCGAACCUCUUAGAAAUUUGAGGGUGCCUUCGGGAAUGCAGUGACAGGUGGUGCAUGGCUGUCGUCAGCUCGUGUCGUGAGAUGUUGGGUUAAGUCCCGCAACGAGCGCAACCCACGUUUUUAGUUGCCAGCAUUUAGUUGGGCACUCUAGAAAGACCGCCGGUGAUAAACCGGAGGAAGGUGUGGAUGACGUCAAGUCAUCAUGCCCCUUACAUCCUGGGCUACACACGUACUACAAUGCUACGGACAAAGGGCAGCAAGUUCGCGAGGACAAGCAAAUCCCAUAAACCGUGGCUCAGUUCAGAUCGUAGGCUGCAACUCGCCUACGUGAAGGAGGAAUCGCUAGUAAUCGCAGGUCAGCAUACUGCGGUGAAUACGUUCCCGGGCCUUGUACACACCGCCCGUCACACCAUGGAAGUUGGCCACGCCCGAAGCCGUUACUCCAACCCUUGUGGAGGAGGACGUCGAAGGUGGGGCUGAUGACUGGGGUGAAGUCGUAACAAGGUAACCGUA